Molecule: ribosomal RNA, 466 nt
Filed under: uncultured bacterium
Lineage: Bacteria
Description: partial 16S ribosomal RNA
Rfam family: Bacterial small subunit ribosomal RNA
Source: RNAcentral
GAUGAACGCUGGCGGCGUGCUUAACACAUGCAAGUCGAACGAUGAAGCCCAGCUUGCUGGGUGGAUUAGUGGCGAACGGGUGAGUAACACGUGAGUAACCUGCCCUUGACUCUGGGAUAAGCCUGGGAAACUGGGUCUAAUACUGGAUAUGACUUCUCAUCGCAUGGUGGGGGGUGGAAAGAUUUAUUGGUCUUGGAUGGACUCGCGGCCUAUCAGCUUGUUGGUGAGGUAAUGGCUCACCAAGGCGACGACGGGUAGCCGGCCUGAGAGGGUGACCGGCCACACUGGGACUGAGACACGGCCCAGACUCCUACGGGAGGCAGCAGUGGGGAAUAUUGCACAAUGGGCGCAAGCCUGAUGCAGCGACGUCGCGUGAGGGAUGACGGCCUUCGGGUUGUAAACCUCUUUCAGUAGGGAAGAAGCGAGAGCGACGGUACCUGCAGAAGAAGCGCCGGCUAACUACGUG